Molecule: ribosomal RNA, 1351 nt
Filed under: uncultured bacterium
Lineage: Bacteria
Description: bacterial SSU rRNA
Rfam family: Bacterial small subunit ribosomal RNA
Source: RNAcentral
GAUGAACGCUAGCGGCAGGCCUAAUACAUGCAAGUCGAACGAUAGUUGGGGCUUGCUGCAACGAAAAGUGGCGCACGGGUGCGUAACGCGUAUGCAACCUACCUUAUUCAGGGGGAUAGCCCGAAGAAAUUCGGAUUAACACCGCAUAAAAUCACAGCUCAGCAUUGAGUAAUGAUCAAAUAUUUAUAGGAAUAAGAUGGGCAUGCGUGUCAUUAGCUAGUUGGCGGGGUAACGGCCCACCAAGGCGACGAUGACUAGGGGAUCUGAGAGGAUGACCCCCCACACUGGUACUGAGACACGGACCAGACUCCUACGGGAGGCAGCAGUAAGGAAUAUUGGUCAAUGGAGGCAACUCUGAACCAGCCAUGCCGCGUGCAGGAAGACAGCCCUCUGGGUCGUAAACUGCUUUUAUUCGGGAAUAAACCUUUCUACGUGUAGAGAGCUGAAUGUACCGAAGGAAUAAGGAUCGGCUAACCCCGUGCCAGCAGCCGCGGUAAUACGGAGGAUCCAAGCGUUAUCCGGAUUUAUUGGGUUUAAAGGGUGCGUAGGCGGCUUAUUAAGUCAGGGGUGAAAGACGGUGGCUCAACCAUCGCAGUGCCUUUGAUACUGAUGAGCUUGAAUGAACUAGAGGUAGGCGGAAUGUGACAAGUAGCGGUGAAAUGCAUAGAUAUGUCACAGAACACCGAUUGCGAAGACAGCUUACUAUGGUUUUAUUGACGCUGAGGCACGAAAGCGUGGGGAUCAAACAGGAUUAGAUACCCUGGUAGUCCACGCCCUAAACGAUGAAUACUCGCUGUUAGCGAUACACAGUUAGCGGCUAAGCGAAAGCGUUAAGUAUUCCACCUGGGGAGUACGCCCGCAAGGGUGAAACUCAAAGGAAUUGACGGGGGCCCGCACAAGCGGAGGAGCAUGUGGUUUAAUUCGAUGAUACGCGAGGAACCUUACCCGGGCUUGAAAGUUAGUGAAUGAUUUAGAGAUAGAUCAGUGAGCAAUCACACGAAACUAGGUGCUGCAUGGCUGUCGUCAGCUCGUGCCGUGAGGUGUUGGGUUAAGUCCCGCAACGAGCGCAACCCCUAUGUUUAGUUGCCAGCACGUUAAGGUGGGGACUCUAAACAGACUGCCUGUGCAAACAGAGAGGAAGGAGGGGACGACGUCAAGUCAUCAUGGCCCUUACGUCCGGGGCUACACACGUGCUACAAUGGAUGGUACAGAGGGCAGCAAGCUGGCAACAGCAAGCAAAUCUCAAAAAGCCAUUCACAGUUCGGAUAGAGGUCUGCAACUCGACCUCUUGAAGUUGGAUUCGCUAGUAAUCGCGUAUCAGCAAUGACGCGGUGAAUACGUUCCCGGGCCU